RNAcentral lists this ribosomal RNA (253 nucleotides) under uncultured bacterium. RNAcentral describes it as "partial 16S ribosomal RNA". It matches the Rfam family "Bacterial small subunit ribosomal RNA", at positions 524 to 776 of the family's 1533-position model. The record is from RNAcentral.
UACGGAGGGUGCGAGCGUUGUCCGGAAUCAUUGGGCGUAAAGGGCGAGUAGGUGGUUGGGUAAGUCUAUGGUGAAAGCGCGGGGCUCAACCCCGCGUCGGCCGUGGAUACUGCUUGACUCGAGCACUGUAGAGGCAGGCGGAAUUCCGGGUGUAGCGGUGGAAUGCGUAGAGAUCCGGAAGAACACCAGGGGCGAAGGCGGCCUGCUGGGCAGUUGCUGACACUGAAUCGCGACAGCGUGGGGAGCAAACAGG